RNAcentral lists this unclassified non-coding RNA (409 nucleotides) under Hevea brasiliensis (rubber tree). The record is from RNAcentral. Lineage: Eukaryota; Viridiplantae; Streptophyta; Magnoliopsida; Malpighiales; Euphorbiaceae.
UUGGUUUUUCCAUCGCGUAGGUACUGGUGAGCAGGACCAAUCCAAACAAUGAGUAGAGCAGGUGUGCAGUAACGGGACAUGGCACUUCAGCAGUCCAUUUUUUUGGUAGGGCCCAUGUGUAUUUAGCUUUUGUAUUUUGAUCAUUCUACAUAAAUGGGAUGUAAUUUAUUUUGGGAUUGUAAAUAAAUUGUAAAUUGUUGUAUAUGAAUUUUAUUAUUGUAUAUGAAUUUUAUAUGAAUGGAAUGAAAAAUAUUUACUUGAAAUUUAUAUGAGCCAUGAUGAUUUGAUAUGAUAUGGAAAAGAAUGAGAUGGAUAGUAUGACAUAUGAUAUGAGAUUUUUAACAAGUAAAUAAUAGCACCCAUCAAACGCUAAUAUAACAGAGGAGAUUCUGUCUAAGUCUUCACAAAA